This 426-nucleotide ribosomal RNA is filed under the name uncultured Rhodocyclaceae bacterium. RNAcentral's name for it is "bacterial SSU rRNA". It matches the Rfam family "Bacterial small subunit ribosomal RNA", at positions 356 to 774 of the family's 1533-position model. Lineage: Bacteria; Pseudomonadati; Pseudomonadota; Betaproteobacteria; Rhodocyclales; Rhodocyclaceae. The record is from RNAcentral.
GGGGAAUCUUGGACAAUGGGCGCAAGCCUUAUCCAGCCAUACCGCGUGGGUGAAGAAGGCCUUCGGGUUGUAAAGCCCUUUUGUUGGGAACGAAAAUCAUUCGGUUAAUACCCGAUUGUUCUGACGGUACCCAAAGAAUAAGCACCGGCUAACUACGUGCCAGCAGCCGCGGUAAUACGUAGGGUGCGAGCGUUAAUCGGAAUUACUGGGCGUAAAGCGUGCGCAGGCGGUUUUGUAAGACAGGCGUGAAAUCCCCGGGCUCAACCUGGGAACUGCGCUUGUGACUGCAAGACUAGAGUACGGCAGAGGGGGGUGGAAUUCCACGUGUAGCAGUGAAAUGCGUAGAGAUGUGGAGGAACACCAAUGGCGAAGGCAGCCCCCUGGGUCGAUACUGACGCUCAUGCACGAAAGCGUGGGGAGCAAACA